Molecule: ribosomal RNA, 1245 nt
Filed under: Bacillus altitudinis
Lineage: Bacteria; Bacillati; Bacillota; Bacilli; Caryophanales; Bacillaceae
Description: bacterial SSU rRNA
Rfam family: Bacterial small subunit ribosomal RNA
Source: RNAcentral
AGAAGGGAGCUUGCUCCCGGAUGUUAGCGGCGGACGGGUGAGUAACACGUGGGUAACCUGCCUGUAAGACUGGGAUAACUCCGGGAAACUGGAGCUAAUACCGGAUAGUUCCUUGAACCGCAUGGUUCAAGGAUGAAAGACGGUUUCGGCUGUCACUUACAGAUGGACCCGCGGCGCAUUAGCUAGUUGGUGAGGUAACGGCUCACCAAGGCGACGAUGCGUAGCCGACCUGAGAGGGUGAUCGGCCACACUGGGACUGAGACACGGCCCAGACUCCUACGGGAGGCAGCAGUAGGGAAUCUUCCGCAAUGGACGAAAGUCUGACGGAGCAACGCCGCGUGAGUGAUGAAGGUUUUCGGAUCGUAAAGCUCUGUUGUUAGGGAAGAACAAGUGCAAGAGUAACUGCUUGCACCUUGACGGUACCUAACCAGAAAGCCACGGCUAACUACGUGCCAGCAGCCGCGGUAAUACGUAGGUGGCAAGCGUUGUCCGGAAUUAUUGGGCGUAAAGGGCUCGCAGGCGGUUCCUUAAGUCUGAUGUGAAAGCCCCCGGCUCAACCGGGGAGGGUCAUUGGAAACUGGGAAACUUGAGUGCAGAAGAGGAGAGUGGAAUUCCACGUGUAGCGGUGAAAUGCGUAGAGAUGUGGAGGAACACCAGUGGCGAAGGCGACUCUCUGGUCUGUAACUGACGCUGAGGAGCGAAAGCGUGGGGAGCGAACAGGAUUAGAUACCCUGGUAGUCCACGCCGUAAACGAUGAGUGCUAAGUGUUAGGGGGUUUCCGCCCCUUAGUGCUGCAGCUAACGCAUUAAGCACUCCGCCUGGGGAGUACGGUCGCAAGACUGAAACUCAAAGGAAUUGACGGGGGCCCGCACAAGCGGUGGAGCAUGUGGUUUAAUUCGAAGCAACGCGAAGAACCUUACCAGGUCUUGACAUCCUCUGACAACCCUAGAGAUAGGGCUUUCCCUUCGGGGACAGAGUGACAGGUGGUGCAUGGUUGUCGUCAGCUCGUGUCGUGAGAUGUUGGGUUAAGUCCCGCAACGAGCGCAACCCUUGAUCUUAGUUGCCAGCAUUCAGUUGGGCACUCUAAGGUGACUGCCGGUGACAAACCGGAGGAAGGUGGGGAUGACGUCAAAUCAUCAUGCCCCUUAUGACCUGGGCUACACACGUGCUACAAUGGACAGAACAAAGGGCUGCGAGACCGCAAGGUUUAGCCAAUCCCACAAAUCUGUUCUCAGUUCGGAUCGC